GUGCCAGCCGCCGCGGUAAUACGAAGGGGGCUAGCGUUGCUCGGAAUUACUGGGCGUAAAGGGCGCGUAGGCGGAUAUUUAAGUUAGAGGUGAAAGCCCAGGGCUCAACCCUGGAAUAGCCUUUAAUACUGGAUAUCUUGAGUUCGGGAGAGGUGAGUGGAACUCCGAGUGUAGAGGUGAAAUUCGUAGAUAUUCGGAAGAACACCAGUGGCGAAGGCGACUCACUGGCCCGAUACUGACGCUGAGGCGCGAAAGCGUGGGGAGCAAACAGGAUUAGAAACCCUGGUAGUCC
This 292-nucleotide ribosomal RNA is filed under the name uncultured bacterium. RNAcentral describes it as "partial 16S ribosomal RNA". It matches the Rfam family "Bacterial small subunit ribosomal RNA", at positions 505 to 796 of the family's 1533-position model. The record is from RNAcentral.